This 114-nucleotide non-coding RNA is filed under the name bovine gut metagenome. Its description in RNAcentral is "FMN riboswitch (RFN element)". It matches the Rfam family "FMN riboswitch aptamer (RFN element)". Rfam says of the family: The RFN element is a highly conserved domain that is found frequently in the 5'-untranslated regions of prokaryotic mRNAs that encode for flavin mononucleotide (FMN) biosynthesis and transport proteins. The record is from RNAcentral.
UUCUUCGGGGAUGGGUGAAAUUCCCUACCGGCGGUACAGCCCGCGAACUGAACCCACGGUUCAGCCGAUUCGGUGAAAUUCCGAAGCCGACAGUAAAGUCUGGAUGAGAGAAGA